UACGAGGGGUGCAAACGUCAUUCGGAAUUACUGGGCGUAAAGGGUGCGUAGACGGCGAAACAAGUCAAUUAUUAAAUCUCUCGGCUCAACUGAGAGUCUGUGGUUGAAACUGUUUUGCUAGAGGAUGGAAGAGAGAAGUGGAAUUCUCGGAGUAGCGGUAAAAUGCGUAGAUCUCGAGAGGAACACCGAUGGCGAAGGCAGCUUCUUGGUCCAUUUCUGACGUUGAUGCACGAAAGCGUGGGGAGCAAACAGG
Molecule: ribosomal RNA, 253 nt
Filed under: uncultured bacterium
Lineage: Bacteria
Description: partial 16S ribosomal RNA
Rfam family: Bacterial small subunit ribosomal RNA
Source: RNAcentral